AAACUUACAAACGGCUCACUACGGUCAUUGAAAUUUGUUGAUUUUGAGCACAUUCGAUCACUAGACAAAUAAUAUCGAAAAAUAAUAAAAUUUAUUUUCUAGGUACUCCAAAUACUCUAGAUCAAGUUUAACGAAGCCGAUCGACGAUUCGAAAAUCGCAACAUCGAAAACGAGCUGGAAGCACGGAAGGCUCCGUGCUUCCGAUAGCAUAGUAGUCUCACUAUAUAUAUAUAUAUAUAUAUAGAGUUGAGCUGGAAUACUAUCGAUAGCAAACGGGCUCCGUUGCCACCCAUUUGUUUUCGAUAAUGGAGCCUCCAAAUUGACGAUCGGCACCGUUGAAUAUGAUAUAUGCCACUUGAAGUAUUUAGAAAUCAAAUUUCAAAUCUUUUCGACAUCAUGACCUAAUGAUCAAAGAAUUUCAAAAUGUAUAAUUUUAAAGAUAGAUACGAGGUAUUUUCUCAUUUAACGGUGUAAAGCUAUCCAAAUCAAUUGAAUUUUGAUUAGAAAGUUCUUUAAACUAUUUAGAACAAGAUCUAUACUCUUGAUCUUGAUUACAAAAUUUCUAUCAUCACUUUUUAGAGAAUAUUCAUUUUCAGCCGUUUAGUUUUACGCCCACUUGAUGAACAAGAGAACAAUAUUGAAAAAGUAUAAAAUUUGAUUUCUAGAUAUUUCAAGUGGUAUAGAUCAUGCUCAACGGUGCCGAUCGUCGAUUUGGAGGCUCCAUCAUCGAAAACA
RNAcentral lists this long non-coding RNA (735 nucleotides) under Ananas comosus (pineapple). Its description in RNAcentral is "long non-coding RNA (ACOM_LNC006043)". Lineage: Eukaryota; Viridiplantae; Streptophyta; Magnoliopsida; Poales; Bromeliaceae. The record is from RNAcentral.